UCCUACGGGAGGCAGCAGUGAGGAAUCUUGCGCAAUGGGCGAAAGCCUGACGCAGCCACGGCCGCGUGCCGGAUGAAGGCCCUAUGGGUUGUAAACGGCUUUUAAGCAGGAAGAACGACCGGAUUUCGAUCUGGUGUGACGGUACUGCUUGAAUAAGCACCGGCUAACUCCGUGCCAGCAGCCGCGGUAAUACGGAGGGUGCAAGCGUUGUCCGGAAUCAUUGGGUGUAAAGGGUGCGUAGGCGGGCGUCUAAGUCUGGGGUGAAAUCUUGCCGCUUAACGGUAAAAUGGCCUUGGAUACUGGGCGUCUUGAGUGUAGAAGAGGUAAGUGGAAUUCGUAGUGUAGCGGUGAAAUGCAUAGAUAUUACGAAGAACAUCAGUGGCGAAGGCGGCUUACUGGUCUACAACUGACGCUGAGGCACGAAAGCGUGGGGAGCGAACAGGAUUAGAUACCCUGGUAGUCCACGCUGUAAACGAUGCAUACUAGGUGUUGGCCUUUCGGGGCCAGUGCUGCAGUUAACGCAUUAAGUAUGCCACCUGGGGAGUACGUCGGCAACGAUGAAACUCAAAUGAAUUGACGG
RNAcentral lists this ribosomal RNA (580 nucleotides) under uncultured bacterium. Its description in RNAcentral is "bacterial SSU rRNA". It matches the Rfam family "Bacterial small subunit ribosomal RNA", at positions 337 to 916 of the family's 1533-position model. The record is from RNAcentral.